This 394-nucleotide ribosomal RNA is filed under the name uncultured bacterium. Its description in RNAcentral is "partial 16S ribosomal RNA". It matches the Rfam family "Bacterial small subunit ribosomal RNA", at positions 338 to 729 of the family's 1533-position model. The record is from RNAcentral.
CCUACGGGAGGCUGCAGUGAGGAAUAUUGGGCAAUGGACGCAAGUCUGAACCAGCCAUGCCGCGUGCAGGAAGACGGCUCUAUGAGGUGUAAACUGCGUUUGUAGGAGGGUAAACGCAGAUACGUGUAUCUGUCUGAAAGUACCGUACGAAUAAGGAUCGGCUAACCCCGUGCCAGCAGCCGCGGUAAUACGGAGGAUUCAAGCGUUAUCCGGAUUUAUUGGGUUGAAAGGGUGCGUAGGCGGGCGGAUAAGUUAGAGGUGAAAUCCCGCGGCUCAACUUCGGAAUUGCCUCUGAUACUGUUCGGCUAGAGUGUAGUUGCGGUAGGCGGAAUGUAUGGUGUAGCGGUGAAAUGCUUAGAUAUCAUCCAGAACACCGAUUGCGAAGGCAGCUUAC